Molecule: ribosomal RNA, 253 nt
Filed under: uncultured bacterium
Lineage: Bacteria
Description: partial 16S ribosomal RNA
Rfam family: Bacterial small subunit ribosomal RNA
Source: RNAcentral
UACAGAGGGUGCGAGCGUUAAUCGGAAUUACUGGGCGUAAAGCGUGCGCAGGCGGCUUUGCAAGACAGAUGUGAAAUCCCCGGGCUCAACCUGGGAACUGCAUUUGUGACUGCAAGGCUAGAGUACGGCAGAGUGGGAUGGAAUUCCGCGUGUAGCAGUGAAAUGCGUAGAUAUGCGGAGGAACACCAAUGGCGAAGGCAAUCCCCUGGGCCUGUACUGACGCUCAUGCACGAAAGCAUGGGGAGCGAACAGG